GCUUUGACUGGCAGAGUCCGAGCAGAGGAAGCUUGCCGGACACCAGGAGAGCUGCCACCCGGACAGAGCUGGCCAGAGGCCUGUGCAUGGGCCACAAGGAAAGAAGGCACAGCCUAACGUAACCUGGCAAGCACCUGUGUAGCCUCUGUAAGUGCUUACCCAGAGAAGCAGGAGCACGGCGAUCUGGGUGUUUGGUGACACUUCCAUCUGAGAGCAGGGCCCAGGUGGAAGAGGCAGCUGGAUGCAGAAAGUAACCUGGGGCCAGGCAUGGUGGCUCACGCCUGUAAUCCCGGCACUUUGGGAGGCCAAGGCAGGUGGAUCACCUGAGGUCAGGAGUUCAAGACCAGUCUGACCAAUAUGGCGAAACCCCGUCUCCACUAAAUACAAAAAAUUCACCUGGCGUGGUGGUGUGCACCUGUAAUCCCAGCUACUCGGGAGGCUGAGGCAGGAGAAUCGCUUGAACCCGGGAGGUGGAGGUUGCAGUGAGCUGAGAUUGUGCCACUGCACUCCAGCCUGGGCAACAGAGCGAGACUCCAUCCCAAAUAAAAAAGAGAAAAAAGAAAGAAACUUGGACACAAACGCAUGCCAUUGGAAGACCGUGGGAAGACACGGGCAGAAGGUGGCCAUCUCCAUGCCAGACAGGGACCUCAGAAGGAGGCCAUCCUGCCAACGCCUUGGUCUUGGACUCCAGCAUCCAGAACUUCGAGAUGAUAAGUGGGGGUUGUUGAAGCUGCCCAGUCUGGGGAACUUUGUGACAGCUGCCCCAGAAAUCUGAUCCACUGCACCUGGCCUCAGAGUUCAGGCUGGCUCCACUCUCUCUCUCCCGACACCUCCCAUCAGGUGGGGACCUGCAGCCCAUUCCCAGGUGGGGGUCUGCACAAGGACAAGUUUGGGAUGAAGCCUCAGGUCACCUGGCUUCCUGGAUCUAUAAACUGUCAUCUAAGUGACAGGCUUGGCUCAGGAAAGCCGCUCGGUGCCAACCAGCUUGAGAGCCUAGCUCCCGGGGGCAGGCCACCGCACAGAGAACACACACGCUUUCCUAACAGCCUUGCUGGGGAAAUUUGGCCACUGGCUGCAAAACCUCACUGGAAGUAAAAAAUAGGAGUGUCAGAUCCUGUAGCUGAAUGAAAGAAAUUUGGACCAGCCAGGGUUAAGGAAGACAGACUUUCUGCUCUCCAGAGUCUGCCUGUGCUCUCAGGACAGGCCUCGGUGUGGCAGCACGUGAACCAGUGGCAGGCUGUUUUUCUUUCUUUCCAUGUUCCCAGCCCCUGGCACAUGGUAGGUGCUCAGAAAGUGCUAAGGACUUCCUAAAUGCAAACCUACACAGCCUAGCCCGUGCAGCAGGGAACGGAGAUCACCGGGCACUCGGGAGCCAUCCACUCGGUGGUGGGCGAUUUGAGCCGCUGUCUUCAGGACCGAGACCAGGCAUCAGGGACCCCAGAUUGUGGAGCAGACAACAACGCCGGCUGACCUCGGACGACGUCUCGUCCCGUAUUCUAUGUCUCAUGUCCUCUGUGAAAUGGAAGAGCCUCCAUCCCUAAGGGGACAGAGUUUCGGGCUUGGUGAAUGGAGCCUGGUGCGAAGCAGGAAGGAAGCCCCUUGGCUCCCACCUGCCAGCUACUCCGGGGCACUCCCCCGACCUUCUGGCCAUCUCCAUUGCUCAGAGCCCCACUGUGGGAGGUCUGAGCUCUCAGAGGCUGCAGUGAAGAGUGACAAGGAUGACGCCCCCACCAACCCCAUCAGGGUUCCUGGGGGUGCGGAUGACAUGUGGGCCACCUGGGCUUGUCUUUAGCGUUUUGGGGAGAUGAAUAGUUUGAGUGACUGUCUGCUUGCACCUGCCUCAGGACAGAGUAGUGAGAGGUAGGAGGAAGGCGUAGAGGGGAAGGGAGCUUCAGAGGUAACCCCCGACUGAACCGAGAGUGCACAGGUGGUCAUCCUGCACCCAGUCCUCCUGUCAACACCACAGGGGUCCAGGGACCUAGACAGGUGGGGGACCACCCGUUGUUACGGAGUGACUGGGAGGGCCACCCGAGGAGAGCCAAGCAGGGGACCACCCCUCCCGGCAUGGGCAGACCUAGCAGGGCAGCCCCGGGACUUGGGGCGUGAGAUCCGACUUCCUGAGGCUCCACUCCUGGCGGGGGGCAGGCCAGGCCACCGUGGCUCUCCAAGGAAGGCGCACUGCCUAGCUGCGUGGAGCGUGGUUGGCCUCCAGCCGUUGGCUUCCUCAGGGUCAGCAUCCUCUCUGCCUCUCCAGGAGUCUGAGCUAGGUGAGGAUACAAGGGCCUGACUAUUCCACCCCUCAAGGGCUCCUCUGAUGGGCAGCACUGGCUCUGCAUGCCCACUGGGCUGCCAGAGAUGAGUGUGGCAGAUCCACAUCGCAGCUUACCCACCCCUCCUGCACUCUCUUGCAGCCUCUCUUUUCUUCAUGGGUGUUGCUCCCUCAUAAAUAAAUAAAUAUAUAUAUAUACACACACACACACACACAUAGUUGCUGUUGUUGUUGUUGUUGUUGUUUUUGAGGCAGGGUCUUGCUCUGUCGCCCAGGCUGGAGUUCAG
RNAcentral lists this long non-coding RNA (2556 nucleotides) under Homo sapiens (human). RNAcentral describes it as "HSALNT0022940". The record is from RNAcentral. Lineage: Eukaryota; Metazoa; Chordata; Mammalia; Primates; Hominidae.